Molecule: ribosomal RNA, 415 nt
Filed under: uncultured prokaryote
Description: bacterial SSU rRNA
Rfam family: Bacterial small subunit ribosomal RNA
Source: RNAcentral
GGCUCAGAUGAACGCGGCGCAGGCCUAACACAGCAAGUCGAGCGGUAACAGGUCUAGCUUGCUAGAUGCUGACAAGCGGCGGACGGGUGCGUAACACGUAGGAAUCUACCCAGUAGAGGGGGAUAGCCCGGAGAAAUCCGGAUUAAUACCGCAUACGCCCUAAGGGGGAAAGCAGGGGAUCUUCGGACCCUGCGCUAUUGGAGGAGCCUGCGUCGGAUUAGCUAGUUGGUGGGGUAAAGGCCUACCAAGGCGACGAUCCGUAGCUGGUCUGAGAGGAUGAUCAGCCACACUGGGACUGAGACACGGCCCAGACUCCUACGGGAGGCAGCAGUGGGGAAUAUUGCACAAUGGGGGAAACCCUGAUGCAGCCAUGCCGCGUGUGUGAAGAAGGCUUUAGGGUUGUAAAGCACUUUCA